This 288-nucleotide long non-coding RNA is filed under the name Rattus norvegicus (Norway rat). RNAcentral describes it as "long non-coding RNA NONRATT017446". The record is from RNAcentral. Lineage: Eukaryota; Metazoa; Chordata; Mammalia; Rodentia; Muridae.
ACAGAUGCACACUCUGUUUGCCGACUCUUUCGCUGCUUUGGGUCGUUUGGAUAACAUUACACUAGUGAUGGUUUUUCAUCCACAAUAUCUAGAAAGUUUCUUAAAGACACAACACUACCUACUGCAGAUGGACGGGCCGUUGCCCCUCCAUUAUCGCCACUACAUUGGCAUCAUGGUUCGUAAACUUCCUAUGACAUUCUUUUCCCUGUGGUUUUUUUUUUUUUUAAUUUUAUUUCUUUAAGAGGAUUAAUGCUUUUGACACAAGAAUAAAUACUUAUAUUACUUAUU